Magnolia sinica is the source of this 2919-nucleotide long non-coding RNA. RefSeq lists it as uncharacterized. The record is from RefSeq and is a predicted model, not a curated record. Lineage: Eukaryota; Viridiplantae; Streptophyta; Magnoliopsida; Magnoliales; Magnoliaceae. The transcript has 2 exons.
CACGCGCUUUCUCCUUUAAAUAUGCUAACUCUAGUGUAGCCAAUAAACCUUUGGAAUUUGUACUUUUUAUAUCUAGUGACAAGCUCUGUUUCCCUAUUAUAUACAUUUCAUUGAUGAUCUUAGUAGAUUUUCUUUUAAAAAGCUCUUUCUUUUUUACUUUUUGUUUUUUAAUGGAAAAGCAUUUCAUUGAUGAUGUUAGUAGAUUUACAUGGUAUUUUUCCUUGGUAUGCAAUUAGUGUUUGUUCAAAGAUUUAAAAUGAACAGUGAGAAUAUGUUUUGCAUAAUCAAAAGUAUUCAAACUAAUGGUGGCAGUUAAUACAUGAAGUUCAAAACCUUUCUUGAAAUACAUGGCAUUAUUCUCUGCUUCUCUGUUCCUGCCUCAUUAAUUCUCUGUGGUGACCAAUGCCUCAAUCCCACCUGUCACGCCAUUCAAUGCUAUUUUUGUUUUUUUAGUUUUUCUCUUUAACCAGGUAUUUUCUCAAACACAUUAAAUCUUUUCAAUUCUCUUUUUUAUUAUCAAUUUCUUUAAGGUUCUGGCUAUGGAUUUUUAAAUUCAGUUAUGGCUAUGUACUGACUCAUCCUCUUCACAUGGCACUAGUGUACAUCCAGACUAUCCAAAUUGUAGGGUCCCAUUGUUAAUGGAGUAUAUCUCUAAAAUCACAAUAAUCACCAAUUAAUGGCUAUUAAAUGGAUGGUUAAAAGUAAAAUAGUAAGUGGUAUAAAUUCAAAGGAAAAAACUAAUGCAAGGGCAUUUUCACACUGGGCUCGAGUGGGGUGGCCUAUUAGAUGCAGGGGCACUUGGAGUGGGCAGCCCGUGUGAGGCAAGUAGCUUGUGUGAGGCAGGCCCCACCCAUGUGAGGUGGGUAGCUCAUGUGAGGUGAAACCCAUAUGAUGUGGGGCCCAUGAGGGGUUCGACCAAUGACCUAACUCAUGGGAUGUGGAGCCUGGGCUAUGAGAUACAAUGAUUGAUUCACCACACUCUAUUAGUUUGAGCUUUUAGAGCAAGUGACUACUUGUCCUACAUUAAAGUGAUAUACUGGGGGUGAUUAAUGCAUGAACAUUUUCAUACCGGGCUCAAAUGAGGUGGCUUGUGAGAUGCAGGGGCACACUGGCGGUGAGCGUUCCGUGUGAGGUAGAUGGCUAGUGCGAUUCAAGCCCCACCCGUGUGAAACGGGUGCUAUACUACUAUGCAACGCAUACAAUUGAAGAUUCAGCAACAUUUGUUAAAUGUAAGAACUAAGACUGAUGAGACCCUCCCAUUUGAUCAUACUAUAGAUAAUAACGUGAUUUGGGUCGCCUAUCUCAUGCGUUACCACCAAGCACGUUAUCUGAUGAUCUAGAUUGUAUAUGAUUCUUGGAAAGAAUAGUACAUGAUAGCCUCAAUUUGUCAAUUUGUACAAGUAGGGUCAAUGGCAGGGUGAUUCCAACUGCAUUCAAACCUUCCAUCUGCUUUUCUUUUAACAUCCCAGUCUAAAAUUAAUCUCUUUGAUCAAUCCGUUUGACUAUGAGCCUCCACAUUGAGGCUGCUGGAAAAGCUGUCUGGAUUUCGUCAUGUUUCCACCUGUCUCAUAGAGGUGCAUGUGACAAUCAUGCAUGAUAUAAGAAUUCUUUGGACCUAGAUUCAAUGGAAAGCAAUUGCAAGGUGGCAAGUGAAUUGUUAUUGCAUCAUGCAUGAACAUGAUUGAACUAUGUCAUAAACAUUCAUGUACUUUAGUUUGAUGUGUGUUAAGGAUGCAGAUGGAAAAAUACAGGAUCAAAGAAUAACUGCCCUCAAGAGGGAGGCAAAACUUCAUUUUCUUUUCUUAGGCUAGAAAAACGUAUGAUUGUAAUCUCAAUUGGCUACAUUUUCAUAACAUUCUCAAACCAGAUCUCCUAUUCAUUCAAACGAACAAGGCAAAUAAUUUGAUACUAGAUGUGGCUGCUUGGCUUAACUUCUAUUGAUUGGUCAAUGCAGGGGGAGGUUGGAACUUGUUUGAUUGAUUGCAACUCUCAUUGACUCAUGUGACUUCGAUCAUGCUCUGUGUGUGUGUGUUUGUUUAUGUAUAUAUAAAAUGAACAAAAUAAAUGUUUCUUUUGGAACAUGAUCGGAUAUGGGUCCUACUAGGUGGACAAGCUCAAUUGAUGGUCUCGGUUGACACAUGCUCAUGACCAAUGAAAAUACAGUAGAGGGAUGGUGCUACCACAUUCUGGUUCUAAUGGCUCUACUUUCCUUUGGUAGUGGUAUGCCCACAAGGACCUCCCCACUUUAUGUAUGGUAUAGAUGAGUGAUCCAUCUGAUGGUUCCACUGCAUUCCUGACCAUAACAAAAAGAAAAUUAAAAAAUAAAUGAUUUCGAAAAGCAUAGCAAUGGCUCACAUGCCCUACUUGUCGGCGGUUUCUUCUAGUUGAUCACCAUCUCCGGAGUGUUCAAAUUUGAGAAACGAUCGAGGUGGCUAAGUAUAUAGAAACCAUCACAUGCACACAGAUGCAUUUGGCAUCCAGGUCACCCUAUCUAGCUAAUUGGUAUUUGCUUUACUUUGAGUUUCAUCCAACUGUUUUCUUUGUGAAGGAACAUCAGUAGGGGAGAUUACUGCUGCAUGACUCAAAGAAAGGCGAUUUCUAUCAUCUAGAGGCAACCCCAAAUUUCGUGCAUUUAACAUCAAAGUCUUGUCAUACAACAAUGUGUUUUUGGUUCCAAUGUACACCAGCUUAUAUUGGUCGUUGGCCAAAACCGAUGGCCCAUUACAUCAGACGACACAUGGGUGAACAGGAUUGUCCAAUUGCUUUAAAAACAAGAGGGGAUUGUUGCUCCGUCAAAACACUCAUACAAAAUUGUAAUUCAUCAAUCUUGCAGAUAAUCAUACGAUCAACGAGUUUCCAGUCACUUUAUUUGUAUUUCAUGUUUGUAAUACUCACAAAAGCAUUCAAAAUUUUGUUCAA